RNAcentral lists this ribosomal RNA (253 nucleotides) under uncultured bacterium. RNAcentral's name for it is "partial 16S ribosomal RNA". It matches the Rfam family "Bacterial small subunit ribosomal RNA", at positions 524 to 776 of the family's 1533-position model. The record is from RNAcentral.
UACGGAGGGGGCUAGCGUUGUUCGGAAUUACUGGGCGUAAAGCGCGCGUAGGCGGACCUGCAAGUCGGGGGUGAAAGCCCGAGGCUCAACCUCGGAACUGCCUUCGAUACUGCGGGUCUCGAGUCCGGGAGAGGUGAGUGGAAUUCCUAGUGUAGAGGUGAAAUUCGUAGAUAUUGGGAGGAACACCAGUGGCGAAGGCGGCUCACUGGACCGGAACUGACGCUGAGGCGCGAAAGCGUGGGGAGCAAACAGG